CAAAAACAAAACAAAACAAAAAG
Molecule: small RNA, 23 nt
Filed under: Arabidopsis thaliana (thale cress)
Lineage: Eukaryota; Viridiplantae; Streptophyta; Magnoliopsida; Brassicales; Brassicaceae
Description: ATSL230070
Source: RNAcentral